Molecule: ribosomal RNA, 502 nt
Filed under: uncultured Entrophospora
Lineage: Eukaryota; Fungi; Glomeromycota; Glomeromycetes; Entrophosporales; Entrophosporaceae
Description: SSU rRNA
Rfam family: Eukaryotic small subunit ribosomal RNA
Source: RNAcentral
AGCAGCCGCGGUAAUUCCAGCUCCAAUAGCGUAUAUUAAAGUUGUCGCAGUUAAAAAGCUCGUAGUUGAAUUUCGGGAUUGGCGCAUCGGUCGUGCCUCACGGGGUAUGAACUGGUGCAGUCAAUUUCUCACCUUCUGGAGAACCGCGAUGUCCUUAAUUGGAUGCCGCGGGGAACCAGGACCUUUACUUUGAAAAAAUUAGAGUGUUUAAAGCAGGCAUUUUUGCUUGAAUACAUUAGCAUGGAAUAAUAAAAUAGGACGGCAUGGUUCUAUUUUGUUGGUUUCUAGGACCACCGUAAUGAUUAAUAGGGAUAGUUGGGGGCAUUAGUAUUCAAUUGUCAGAGGUGAAAUUCUUGGAUUUAUUGAAGACUAACUACUGCGAAAGCAUUUGCCAAGGAUGUUUUCAUUAAUCAAGAACGAAAGUUAGGGGAUCGAAGACGAUCAGAUACCGUCGUAGUCUUAACCAUAAACUAUGCCGACUAGGAUCAGAAGAUGUUAAUUU